CUAACCUGCCCACUGAUUUAUUAAAGGGCCGCGGUAUAUUGACUGUGCAAAGGUAGCAUAAUCAUUUGUCUUUUAAUUGAAGGCUAGAAUGAAUGGUUGAAUGAAGUAUUAACUGUCUCAUUAUAAAAAAUAUAAAAAUUUAAUUUUUUAGUCAAAAAGCUAAAAUUUAAUUAGAGGACGAGAAGACCCUAUAGAUCUUUAUAUUAUAAUUUUAUAUAAGUUAAUUGAAUAAAAAAAAAUUAUUUGAAAUUAUAAUAUUUUGUUGGGGUGACAGGAAAAUUUAAAAAACUAUUUUUAUUAAAAAACAAUAAUAAUUGAAUAAUUGAUCCAAUAAUAUUGAUUAAAAGUUUAAGUUACCUUAGGGAUAACAGCGUAAUUUUUUUGGAAAGUUCAUAUUAAUAAAAAAGAUUGCGACCUCGAUGUUGAAUUAAAGA
This 434-nucleotide ribosomal RNA is filed under the name Osmylus sp. 3 SW-2017. Its description in RNAcentral is "partial large subunit ribosomal RNA". It matches the Rfam family "Bacterial large subunit ribosomal RNA", at positions 1854 to 2543 of the family's 2925-position model. The record is from RNAcentral. Lineage: Eukaryota; Metazoa; Arthropoda; Insecta; Neuroptera; Osmylidae.